Molecule: ribosomal RNA, 414 nt
Filed under: uncultured prokaryote
Description: bacterial SSU rRNA
Rfam family: Bacterial small subunit ribosomal RNA
Source: RNAcentral
GUGUCAGCCGCCGCGGUAACACGUAGGGGACGAGCGUUAUCCGGAUUUACUGGGCGUAAAGAGCGUUGAGGCGGUUCUGUAAGUUGGGCGUGAAAGCCCCGGGCUUAACUCGGGGACGUCGUUCAAUACUGCAGGGCUUGAGGGCAGCAGAGGGAGGUGGAAUUCCCGGUGGAGCGGUGAAAUGCGCAGAUAUCGGGAGGAACACCAGUGGCGAAGGCGGCCUCCUGGGCUGUUCCUGACGCUGAAGGCGAAAGCUAGGGGAGCAAACGGGAUUAGAGACCCCGGUAGUCCUAGCUAUAAACGAUGGAUGCUAGGUGUGGGAGGUAUAGAAUCCUUCCGUGCCAAAGCUAACGCGUUAAGCAUCCCGCCUGGGGACUACGGCCGCAAGGCUAAAACUCAAAUGAAUUGGCGGGG